AUGCAUUAUAGGCAGAAAAUAUGUUUAUCCAUUGGAAGCCAAUCAAUGAAUUAUAUGCGUUGGCAUGCACUGUUGGAGUCUGUUGGGGAACGUAGCAGAAAUUCAAAAUUUUCCUACGUGUCACCAAAAUCUAUCUAUGGAGAAACCAGCAACGAGGGGAAGGAGAGUGCAUCUACAUACCCUUGUAGAUCGCUAAGCGGAAGCGUUCAAGAGAACGGGGUUGAAGGAGUCGUACUCGUUGUGAUCCAAAUCACUGAUGAUCCUAGUGCCAAACGGACGGCACCUCCGUGUUCAACACAUGUACAGCCCGGUGACGUCUCCCAUGCCUUGAUCCAGCAAGGAGAGAGGGAGAGGUUGAGGAAGACUCCAUCCAGCAGCAGCACAACGGCGUGGUGGUGGUGGAGGAGCGUGGUACUCCAGCAGGGCUUCGCCAAGCAUCGCAAGAGACGAGGAGGGAGAGGGGUAGGGCUGCGCCAAGAAGGAGAGGAACUCGUGUGUGUUGGGCAGCCCAAACCUCAAGUAUAUAUAGGGGAAGGGGAGGGGCUGCGCCCCCACCUAGGGUUCCCUCCCUAG
Molecule: ribosomal RNA, 573 nt
Filed under: Triticum aestivum (bread wheat)
Lineage: Eukaryota; Viridiplantae; Streptophyta; Magnoliopsida; Poales; Poaceae
Description: partial small subunit ribosomal RNA
Source: RNAcentral